RNAcentral lists this ribosomal RNA (514 nucleotides) under uncultured bacterium. Its description in RNAcentral is "bacterial SSU rRNA". It matches the Rfam family "Bacterial small subunit ribosomal RNA", at positions 15 to 518 of the family's 1533-position model. The record is from RNAcentral.
GAUUCUGGCUCAGGAUGAACGCUAGCUACAGGCUUAACACAUGCAAGUCGAGGGGCAGCGGGGAUCUAGCUGCUAGAUCUGCUGGCGACCGGCGCACGGGUGAGUAACGCGUAUCCAACCUUCCCCUUAGUAGGGCAUAGCCCGUAGAAAUGCGGAUUAAUACCCUAUGUUCUUCGUCGAAGACAUCUGAAGUGAAGCAAAGAUUUAUCGCUAAGGGAUGGGGAUGCGUCUGAUUAGCUUGCCGGCGGGGUAACGGCCCACCGGGGCAACGAUCAGUAGGGGUUCUGAGAGGAAGGUCCCCCACAUUGGAACUGAGACACGGUCCAAACUCCUACGGGAGGCAGCAGUGAGGAAUAUUGGUCAAUGGUCGAGAGACUGAACCAGCCAAGUAGCGUGCAAGGAUGACGGCCCUAUGGGUUGUAAACUGCUUUUAUGCGGGGAUAAAGUGCGGCACGUGUGCCGUUUUGUAGGUACCGCAUGAAUAAGGACCGGCUAAUUCCGUGCCAGCAGCUGC